ACCACUGCGGCGAACGGU
RNAcentral lists this unclassified non-coding RNA (18 nucleotides) under Chlamydomonas reinhardtii. Its description in RNAcentral is "small RNA Cre_0230". The record is from RNAcentral. Lineage: Eukaryota; Viridiplantae; Chlorophyta; Chlorophyceae; Chlamydomonadales; Chlamydomonadaceae.